UACGUAGGUGGCAAGCGUUAUCCGGAUUUAUUGGGCGUAAAGCGAGCGCAGGCGGUUGCUUAGGUCUGAUGUGAAAGCCUUCGGCUUAACCGAAGAAGUGCAUCGGAAACCGGGCAACUUGAGUGCAGAAGAGGAGAGUGGAAUUCCAUGUGUAGCGGUGAAAUGCGCAGAGAUAUGGAGGAACACCAGUGGCGAAGGCGGCUCUCUGGUCUGUAACUGACGCUGAGGCUCGAAAGCAUGGGUAGCGAACA
This 251-nucleotide ribosomal RNA is filed under the name uncultured bacterium. Its description in RNAcentral is "partial 16S ribosomal RNA". It matches the Rfam family "Bacterial small subunit ribosomal RNA", at positions 524 to 774 of the family's 1533-position model. The record is from RNAcentral.